RNAcentral lists this ribosomal RNA (536 nucleotides) under uncultured fungus. Its description in RNAcentral is "SSU rRNA". It matches the Rfam family "Eukaryotic small subunit ribosomal RNA", at positions 22 to 551 of the family's 1831-position model. Lineage: Eukaryota; Fungi. The record is from RNAcentral.
AGUCAUAUGCUUGUCUCAAAGAUUAAGCCAUGCAUGUCUAAGUAUAAGCAAUUUAUACAGUGAAACUGCGUAAUGGCUCAUUAAAUCAGUUAUCGUUUAUUUGAUAGNUACCUUUACUACUUGGAUAACCGUGGCUAAUUCUAGAGCUAAUACAUGCUAGAAAUCCCGACUGUUUGGAAGGGAUGUAUUUAUUAGAUAACAAAUCAAUGCUCUUUGAGCUCUUUGAUGAUUCAUAAUAACUUUUCGAAUCGCAUGGCCUUGUGCUGGCGAUGGUUCAUUCAAANUUCUGCCCUAUCAACUUUCGAUGGUAGGAUAGUGGCCUACCAUGGNUUCAACGGGUAACCGGGGAAUAAGGGUUCGAUUCCGGACGAUGGGAGCUGUGAGAAAGCGGCUAUCCACAUCCAGGAAGGCAGGCAGGCGCGCAAAUUACCAAYUCCCGAUCACGGGGAGGUAGUGACAAUACAUAACGAUACAGGGCCCUUUCGGGUCUUGUAAUUGGAAUGAGUACAAUGUAAAUACCUUAACGAGGAACAAUU